UGGGCUUCAAGGGCUCCGUCU
RNAcentral lists this non-coding RNA (21 nucleotides) under Arabidopsis thaliana (thale cress). Lineage: Eukaryota; Viridiplantae; Streptophyta; Magnoliopsida; Brassicales; Brassicaceae. The record is from RNAcentral.